This 1538-nucleotide ribosomal RNA is filed under the name Desulfitobacterium hafniense TCP-A. Its description in RNAcentral is "bacterial LSU rRNA". It matches the Rfam family "Bacterial large subunit ribosomal RNA", at positions 1291 to 2829 of the family's 2925-position model. Lineage: Bacteria; Bacillati; Bacillota; Clostridia; Eubacteriales; Desulfitobacteriaceae. The record is from RNAcentral.
AGAAUGCCGGUAUGAGUAUGCGAAAAGGUGAGUGAGAAUCUCACCCGCCGAAAACCUAAGGAUUCCUGGGGAAGGCUCGUCCGCCCAGGGUAAGUCGGGACCUAAGCCGAGGCGAAAAGCGUAGGCGAUGGACAACUGGUUGAGAUUCCAGUACCACUCAGGAGCGUUUGAGCGAUGGGGUGACACAGAAGGAUAGGUUAAGCGUGCCGUUGGUCGAGCACGCCCAAGCCCGUAGGAAGCGAGAUAGGCAAAUCCGUCUCGCGGGAAUUCUGAAAGGUGAAGGGGAGCGAAAGUAGUAGCGAAGUAACCGACUCCAAGCUGUCAAGAAAAGCCUCUAGUGAGCUUGCUGAGUGCCCGUACCGCAAACCGACACAGGUAGGUAAGGAGAGAAUCCUAAGGCGCGCGAGAAACAACCCUCGUUAAGGAACUCGGCAAAAUGACCCCGUAACUUCGGGAGAAGGGGUGCUCUAGAGAUAGAGCCGCAGAGAAGAGGUCCAGGCGACUGUUUAUCAAAAACACAGGUUCCUGCCAAUCUGAAAAGAGAAGUAUAGGAGCUGACGCCUGCCCGGUGCUGGAAGGUUAAGAGGAGAGGUUAGCGUGAAAGCGCGAAGCUUUGAAUUGAAGCCCCAGUAAACGGCGGCCGUAACUAUAACGGUCCUAAGGUAGCGAAAUUCCUUGUCAGGUAAGUUCUGACCCGCACGAAAGGCGUAACGAUCUGGACACUGUCUCAACGAGGGACUCGGCGAAAUUGUAAUACCCGUGAAGAUGCGGGUUACCUGCGACAGGACAGAAAGACCCCAUGGAGCUUUACUGUAGCUUGACAUUGGACUUUGGUAUAAAAUGUACAGGAUAGGUGGGAGACUGAGAAGCCAGGGCGCCAGCCUUGGUGGAGUCAAUGGUGGGAUACCACUCUUUUUGUACUGAAGUUCUAACUUAGGCCCCUGAAUCGGGGUUGAGGACCGUGUCAGGUGGGCAGUUUGACUGGGGCGGUCGCCUCCUAAAGAGUAACGGAGGCGCCCAAAGGUUCCCUCAGCGCGGAUGGAAAUCGCGCGAAGAGUGUAAAGGCAGAAGGGAGCUUGACUGCGAGACCAACAAGUCGAGCAGGGACGAAAGUCGGGCUUAGUGAUCCGGUGGUACCGAGUGGAAGGGCCAUCGCUCAACGGAUAAAAGCUACCCUGGGGAUAACAGGCUUAUCUCCCCCAAGAGUCCAUAUCGACGGGGAGGUUUGGCACCUCGAUGUCGGCUCAUCGCAUCCUGGGGCUGUAGUAGGUCCCAAGGGUUGGGCUGUUCGCCCAUUAAAGCGGUACGUGAGCUGGGUUCAGAACGUCGUGAGACAGUUCGGUCCCUAUCCGUCGCAGGCGCAGGAAAUUUGAGAGGAACUGACCCUAGUACGAGAGGACCGGGUUGGACGGAUCACUGGUGUACCAGUUGUCUCGCCAGAGGCAGUGCUGGGUAGCUAUAUCCGGAGCGGAUAAGCGCUGAAAGCAUCUAAGCGCGAAACCGGCCUCAAGAUGAGAUUUCCCACAGCAUAAGCUGGU